Molecule: ribosomal RNA, 120 nt
Filed under: Helianthus annuus (common sunflower)
Lineage: Eukaryota; Viridiplantae; Streptophyta; Magnoliopsida; Asterales; Asteraceae
Also listed under: 1 other name
Source: RNAcentral
GGUUGCGAUCAUACCAGCACUAAUGCACCGGAUCCCAUCAUAACUCCGCAGUUAAGCGUGCUUGGGCGAGAGUAGUACUAGGAUGGGUGACCCCCUGGGAAGUCCUCGUGUUGCAACCCC